Molecule: long non-coding RNA, 903 nt
Organism: Zingiber officinale
Lineage: Eukaryota; Viridiplantae; Streptophyta; Magnoliopsida; Zingiberales; Zingiberaceae
Exons: 2
Source: RefSeq, a predicted model, not a curated record
CUGAAAUCAAUCUAAAUGGCAAUUGAUUGAGGAUAUCUAUAACUAAUCAACAACUCCAUGACAUUAUUCAAUGCGAAGAGCUGUGGCCAGGCACAGGGACAGAGGAUCCCUCCCCAGUUCAUUAAUUAAUUCGUUGAUCGGUGGAGAUCCAGGAAGAGACCAGGUGGGGUAUAAGAGGGAGAUUAAAAAAAUGAACAGGAGAUGUCCAAGGGAGAAGAACCUUAACAUCGAACCACUUUUCUUUCUUCAACAAACAAAGAAACCCCACAACUUGCACGCCAAAUUGGCAAUGCCAUGCCACACUUGUCCUCAAAUAAUACUUCACACCCGCGGUAUGUGCAGUGCACUGCAUCCAUCCCAAUUAAUUAAUUAUAACACCCCUCUCAAAGCUCUUCUCUUUCUCUCUCUCUCUCCCUUCCUCCAACGGAUUCAAGCACAGGAAACUCAAAGACAGAUCUCAAAGUCAAACCUGCAAGUAACGAUCGAGUAUGAGUUCAGAGUGUCGAAUAGAAAAGAAUCAGAUUCGUUUCGAAGCUCAUUAGACAGUGUUAAUAUAAUUAACUGAUCUGAUGGAAAGCAGAGAGAAGAGAAUGCAUCAUCCACUACGAGAGCCUCAUCACGAGCACAGAGAGUCCUCUCCUUCGAACUAUUUCAGCGUGGAAACGUUUCUGGUUCUUGGCCUACUGACCUUGUCUCUCCUGGUGCUCCCUCUCAUACUGCCGCCGUUGCCGCCGCCACCUUCGAUGCUACUGCUGCUUCCUCUAGGCAUACUUGUUGUGUUAAUGAUUUCGGCUUUCAUGCCCUCGGGCAGAAGAAACAUGGCUUCCUCUCAUCUGUAAAUAUCGAUCGGAUCAUAGUGAUCGACUUUAAUUUGCACAAUAAAUACUUUUUUUUGGCGAUAAA